GAUGAACGCUGGCGACAGGCCUAACACAUGCAAGUCGAGGGGCAGCGGGGAGGUAGCAAUACCUUUGCCGGCGACCGGCGCACGGGUGAGUAACACGUAUGCAAUCCACCUGUAACAGGGGGAUAACCCGGAGAAAUCCGGACUAAUACCCCAUAAUAUGGGCGCUCCGCAUGGAGGCUCAUUAAAGAAGCAAUUUGGUUACAGACGAGCAUGCGCUCCAUUAGCCAGUUGGCGGGGUAACGGCCCACCAAAGCGACGAUGGAUAGGGGUUCUGAGAGGAAGGUCCCCCACAUUGGAACUGAGACACGGUCCAA
RNAcentral lists this ribosomal RNA (314 nucleotides) under uncultured bacterium. RNAcentral's name for it is "bacterial SSU rRNA". It matches the Rfam family "Bacterial small subunit ribosomal RNA", at positions 28 to 334 of the family's 1533-position model. The record is from RNAcentral.